This 1071-nucleotide unclassified non-coding RNA is filed under the name Hevea brasiliensis (rubber tree). The record is from RNAcentral. Lineage: Eukaryota; Viridiplantae; Streptophyta; Magnoliopsida; Malpighiales; Euphorbiaceae.
GUACUUCUCCUCUGUAGCCAAUACUACAAAAAGCACAUAUUUAAUCAGCAUGAAAGCCAUACCUUAACUAUUGUAAUCACUGCUGCUCAUGAUUAAAUAAACAAUUGGACAUUUCACCCUUUGUGAUUUUUCAAUAGUAUCCUUAUCUCUAUUGAUGACAUUUUAACCAGUGGAAGAGUUGCAGCAUGAGAAAAUGUAUGCAUCCUCAUCUCUAAGAUAAAUGACAUCUGAACUAGUUCACAAUUGGAGCUUGCAAAAGGGAGAUGACAAUUCACUGAAACACAACCUCAAUGAGGUAAAAUUUUAUUUAGGCUAAAUAAGAUUGAAUAUCUGACUCAUAUGAUAGUGGAGGCUGACUAAGUGCCUGAACUAUAACAACAAGGCAUGAAUCUGGUACUCUACAACUUAUGGUAAGAUUGAAUCAUGCAUAAUUCUGGCUAUCUCAGAUAUGAAUUAGGCCUGCCUCAGGGAUAAAAGAAUGAAGGGAUCCCCCUAAAUAUUUUCAAGGAUAGAAGAGUGUAUGCAACACAUGAAAGAAAUCAUAUUAGGCUUAAAACCUCUGAAUCAGCAGAUUUCUAAAGCUUCGUACUAGAACACAUUGAAUCGGCUGUUUCCAUCUACAAUCUAUUGAGAACUACUCAGCGAUGGGGGUGGGUGACAGUUUCCUGUUAAAUUACUAAGGUGGGGUAACCUGUGAAAGGUACUUAGCUCAGGUCUGGAUUCUCUAUUUUGGCUUUAAGAUUGCUCUGAUUUGCUUCGGAGAGGUCCUUAUUGAAAGACUCAACAUCGUUAGCGAUCAGAAACUCGUGGCAAUUAUGCAAUUGUUCUAGUAGAAGAGUCUUAAAUAGUGGAAGGCAUUGAGAAGGGGAGGACAUCUACUGGGAAGGUAAUGAAGAUAAAAUUAGACAUUGUUUCAAUAGACAUCUAAUUUGUUCAAAUUAUGUGUAAUUAUUACCCUAAACUUCAUAAAUAUGGAAAAACCAAGACAGCCACAUAGGAGAAGACAAUCAUAAAAUUGAAACAUAAAAAAGUUAAGUGCAUAGUUACCAGGAAGGUUCUCUGAGACAGUAG